AGUGAAUAUAUCAAGUAUUUUAGCACAGAAAGGGAUAACCUCAGCAGCGGCAUAUUGUAUGAGCAAAGCUUCUUUAGAUCAUUUUACACAUUUACUUUCAGCAGAAACAGCGCCAUUUGGUAUCAGAGUCAACUGUGUAAGUCCUGGUGUCACAAGAUCUGAAUUUCAACUGCGUACGGGGGUAUCUGAAAAGGCAGUGGAUGAUCUAUAUGCUAGACAGAGAUCAGGGGUCCCCUUGGGAAGAAUAGGUGAACCAGAAGAUGUAGCCAAACUUGUUAAAUUUCUUCUUUCCGACGAGUCAUCAUAUAUAACAGGGGAGGUAAUUUGUGUAGAUGGCGGUCGAAAUAACCCCGUAUAUCCCUCUUGAAAAUAAUGUGAUUCAAAAUAA
Patella vulgata (common limpet) is the source of this 388-nucleotide long non-coding RNA. RefSeq lists it as uncharacterized. The transcript has 5 exons. The record is from RefSeq and is a predicted model, not a curated record. Lineage: Eukaryota; Metazoa; Mollusca; Gastropoda; Patellidae.